AUUUAGUGCUAUAAAUUUCCCUCUAAACACUGCUUUUGCUGUGUCCCAGAGACCCUGGUACGUUGUGUCUUUGUUCUCAUUGCAGGGACAUGGAUGAAGCUGGAAGCCAUCAUUCUCGGCAAACUGACACAGGAACAGAAAACCAAACACCGCAUGUUCUCACUCGUAAGUGGGAGUUGAACAAUGAGAACACAUGGACACAGGGAGGGAAAGAUCACACACUGGGGCCUUUCAGAGGGUGGGGGGCUGGGGGAAGAUAGCAUUAGAGGGAAUACCUAAUGUAGAUGAUGGGUUGAUGGGUGCGGCAAACCACCAUGGCACAUGUAUACCUAUGUAACAAACCUGCCCAUUCUGCACAAGUAUGCCAGAACUUAAAGUAUAAAAAAAAAUGAAAUGGAUGGAAGCAGAGUACCUGGAGAGGGCUUUGUCCAUCCUGUGGUUGAGGACUCCCUGGCCAUGACACCCUUUUGUGCUUUAAAGCCAAUGAAUGACAUUAUCUUGGCCUCUUGUCUCACAAGGAUGGAACCAUAAAUGAGUCCUUUCCCACACCAUGACACACAUAGAAAAUAAUAAUAUUUGUGCAGCCUACAUCAUUUGUGAAGUUGAGGAGGUUUGUGGGCUUUGCUUUUUGAUUUAUUUGUUAAUAAUUAUUUUUUAUAAGACACAUUAAGGAAGACUGAUUUUGUAUAAAAAUGUCCAAUACCAUAUUCUUGAAAUAUAUUUUUAACAAUUUAUGGAGGUAUACUGGAUAUAAAAUAAACUGCGUGUAUUUAAACUGACAAAUGUGUCAGUGAAACCAUCACUACAGUCAAGAUAAUGAACAUAUCCAUCACUCUAAAAAAUGUCCUCUUGUCCCUUUGUAAUCUGUUUAUUAUAGCCCUUCCCACCAUCCACAGCCUAUGCUUAAGCAAUCAGAGCUCUGCUUUCUGUCUCUAUAAAUUACUUGGUAUUUUCUAAAAUGUUAUAUAGGUGGACUCAUACAGCAUGCACUCUUUCUGUCUGGCUUCUUUCACUCAGUAAUCAUUUUAAGAUUCAUUCAUUUUGUAGCAUAUAUCAGAAGUUCAUUUCUUUUUAUUGCGGAGCAGCAUACUGUUGUAUGGAUACACCAUGGUUUAUUUAUCCAUUCACCUACUGAUGGACGUUUUGUUUCCAGUUUUUUGUUGUUGUUACAAAUAAAGCUGCUAUGAAUACUUG
RNAcentral lists this long non-coding RNA (1194 nucleotides) under Homo sapiens (human). RNAcentral's name for it is "HSALNT0163940". The record is from RNAcentral. Lineage: Eukaryota; Metazoa; Chordata; Mammalia; Primates; Hominidae.